UACGUAGGUGGCAAGCGUUGUCCGGAUUUACUGGGCGUAAAGGGCGUGCAGGCGGUCUGUUAAGUUCAGGGUGAAAGCUCCCGGCUCAACUGGGAGAGGUCCUUGGAUACUGGCAGACUUGAGGGAGGUAGAGGAGAGUGGAAUUCCCGGUGUAGUGGUGAUAUGCGUAGAUAUCGGGAGGAACACCAGUGGCGAAGGCGGGUUGCUGGGCCGACACUGACGCUGAGGCGCGAAAGCCAGGGGAGCGAACGGG
RNAcentral lists this ribosomal RNA (253 nucleotides) under uncultured bacterium. RNAcentral's name for it is "partial 16S ribosomal RNA". It matches the Rfam family "Bacterial small subunit ribosomal RNA", at positions 524 to 776 of the family's 1533-position model. The record is from RNAcentral.